RNAcentral lists this long non-coding RNA (389 nucleotides) under Rattus norvegicus (Norway rat). RNAcentral describes it as "long non-coding RNA NONRATT028844". Lineage: Eukaryota; Metazoa; Chordata; Mammalia; Rodentia; Muridae. The record is from RNAcentral.
CUUUUUUUUUCCCCUCUGAAUUUUGUGUUUUAUUUCUUUUUCAUACUUGCCCUUUAGGGGAGAUCUCCAGUGGAAUGCUGGGGAGAAGAAGUUGACCGGUGGAGCCAACUGGCAACCAAAAGUCACUCCGGCCACAUGGUCAGCAGGCGUUCCACCGCAAGGCACUGUUCCUCCAACCAGCUCAGUCCCUCCGGGUGCCGGCGCCCCGUCUGUUGGGCAACCUGGAGCAGGAUAUGGAAUGCCUCCUGCGGGGACAGGCAUGACCAUGAUGCCUCAGCAGCCAGUCAUGUUUGCACAGCCCAUGAUGAGGCCACCCUUUGGAGCUGCAGCUGUGCCCGGCACACAGCUUUCUCCAAGCCCUACACCUGCCACUCAGAGUCCCAAGAAAC